ACACGAAAUAAACCCCUGGAGAUACUGAAUUCAAGAGAUAACGAGUCGUGUAACCGUUUUAUUAACAUAGAGUUCUGUGCACAGGUCAGCCUUAAUGGUAACACGAGUAAAAGCAAGCGUAGAAUGGGUCUAUAUAUCCCUAGCAACAUGUAUGCCAUUUGAGCCAGUUCGUCUUUCACGUUGAGAGUGCUGGAAUAAAUGAUCAAUGUACACGCCGCCAGUAGAGAGCUAAUAUUUCUUAACCCAGUAGUAUACACAGCCUGUGUGAAAAUCAAUAUCCGGUUAACUAUGUCUCUAGACUGGUUUACCAAACUUUUGAAGAACCAUUCCCCGCUAAACAUGGCCGCCGCCGAAACAAAACGGGUCGUUGCUAUGGCUGUUGAUGAGAGCGAGCAUUCUGAUAAAGCCUUUGAAUGGUAUUGUGAACACGUGAUGAAAGAUGGCGACUAUCUUGUAUUCAUACACGUACCAGAAUCAUAUGAUUUCACCAUGGCUAGUCCAUCUGUGCUGGAACAGAUGAUGAGGGAAUUAGAAGAACGAGUCAAUAACAUCGAAAAGAAAUAUAAAGAAAAACUGGUAGCUAAAAGGUUGAGUGGAAAGUUUCGCACGGGAGCUGGCAAACCAGGCGAGGUUAUCG
This is a long non-coding RNA of Patella vulgata (common limpet), 637 nucleotides long. RefSeq lists it as uncharacterized. The transcript has 4 exons. The record is from RefSeq and is a predicted model, not a curated record. NCBI's taxonomy places the organism in Eukaryota, Metazoa, Mollusca, Gastropoda, Patellidae.